RNAcentral lists this long non-coding RNA (734 nucleotides) under Homo sapiens (human). Its description in RNAcentral is "HSALNT0352730". Lineage: Eukaryota; Metazoa; Chordata; Mammalia; Primates; Hominidae. The record is from RNAcentral.
ACUAACCAACCAUCCACCCACCCAACCAACAAACCAACCAAUCAACCAACCAGCCAAUUUUGAAACCAUCCAGAGGAAGACUAUUACAGGUAGAAGAAAAUGCAAGAGGAAAUUCCUGGGCUGAUUAAAUGUUCUAGCAAGGAAACAUGAAGCUGGUCCAACGUGCUGCUGGGAUGGCUCCUUGAAGCUUGAACAUGAUGACCUUCAGCAAAGGAGGUGGAGAUGUACAGAGGAGGAGACCGUUAGUUCCCUGAGUGAAGAGAUGCUAUCUUGGUAUCUCCAGCUUCCAACCGGGGGCUUGGCACAGAAUAGGGGCUUGGUAAAUGUUUUCCAAAUGAAUGGGAUGUCUGAUGGAAAGAAGACAAGGUGAAGGAAUUCCUGGGUAAUAUGGAGAUGAGAAUCUGUGAGAAGGAUACAUGUACUGAUGCCUGUCGCGGUGGACACACAGACGCACACAUUGCGGAACACCACCAUAAGAAUAUUGAGAAUAUCGAGAACACUUCAAUAUUCCAAACUUCAAUGGAAAUAUACGAACUGGAGUACACUCUUCUUCUGCCCUUGGACAUCAGGCUCUCUGGCCUUUGGACUCCAGGACUUAUACCAGCGCCCCUCUGGGUUCUCAGGCCUCUGUACUUGAACUGAGCCACACUGCCAGCAUGCCAGCUUCUCCAGCUUGCCAGGCCUGCUGUGGGACUUCUCAGCCUCCAUAAUCAUGUGUGCCAAUUCCCCUAAUA